This 236-nucleotide unclassified non-coding RNA is filed under the name fungal sp. RNAcentral's name for it is "partial internal transcribed spacer region". The stretch from base 1 to 45 matches the Rfam family "Eukaryotic small subunit ribosomal RNA", at positions 1787 to 1831 of the family's 1831-position model. Lineage: Eukaryota; Fungi. The record is from RNAcentral.
AGUCGUAACAAGGUUUCCGUAGGUGAACCUGCGGAAGGAUCAUUAUAGAAUUGGUAGCUCUGCUGCCGUAACUAUACUAUACUGUUUACAUUCCUGUUGCUUCCCCAUCAUAUGGGUGCCUCUAGUUUUACUGGUUGUGCUCGAUGGGGAACUUUAGUUAAACAUAUUUUGUUUUUAUUCUGAAUCUUAAAUAAUAAAAUUAUUUAAAACUUUCAACAACGGAUCUCUAGGCUCUU